AGAGUUUGAUCAUGGCUCAGGACGAACGCUGGCGGCGCGCUUAAUACAUGCAAGUCGAGCGAGAACCUAGGCUUCGGCCUAGGGGACAGCGGCGAACGGGUGAGUAACACGUGGGUAAUCAACCCCCGACACCGGGAUAGCCCAGGGAAACUUGGAUUAAUACCGGAUACCCCAUCUGGCUUUCGAGCCGGCUGGAAAAGGGUAGCUUCGGCCUCCGGUCGGGGACGAGCCCGCGGCGGAUUAGCUUGUUGGUGAGGUAAAGGCUCACCAAGGCGACGAUCCGUAGCUGGUCUGAGAGGACGAUCAGCCACACUGGGACUGAGACACGGCCCAGACUCCUACGGGAGGCAGCAGUAGGGAAUCUUGCGCAAUGGGCGAAAGCCUGACGCAGCGACGCCGCGUGAGGGAAGAAGGCCUUCGGGUUGUAAACCUCUUUCAGGAGGGACGAAGCCACUCGGGUUAAUAGCCUAGAGGGUGACGGUACCUCCAGAAGAAGCCCCGGCUAACUACGUGCCAGCAGCCGCGGUAAUACGUAGGGGGCAAGCGUUGUCCGGAUUUAUUGGGCGUAAAGAGCGUGUAGGCGGCCUUACAGGUCAGCUGUGAAAACUCGAGGCUCAACCUCGAGACGUCGGUUGAAACCGUAUGGCUAGAGUCCGGAAGAGGAGAGUGGAAUUCCCGGUGUAGCGGUGAAAUGCGCAGAUAUCGGGAAGAACACCCGUGGCGAAGGCGGCUCUCUGGGACGGUACUGACGCUGAGACGCGAAAGCGUGGGGGCAAACAGGAUUAGAUACCCUAGUAGUCC
This 801-nucleotide ribosomal RNA is filed under the name uncultured bacterium. RNAcentral describes it as "bacterial SSU rRNA". It matches the Rfam family "Bacterial small subunit ribosomal RNA", at positions 8 to 796 of the family's 1533-position model. The record is from RNAcentral.